Ribosomal RNA from Lepisosteus oculatus (spotted gar), 119 nucleotides. Lineage: Eukaryota; Metazoa; Chordata; Actinopteri; Semionotiformes; Lepisosteidae. The record is from Ensembl.
GCCAGCAACCAUAUCACCCUGCAACUUACAACUGGUAACCCACUGAAGCUAAGCAGGUGUGAGCCUGGUCAGUACCUGGGUGGGAGACCUCCUGGGAAAAACUAAGGUUGCUGCUGGAA